Cryptotermes secundus is the source of this 1163-nucleotide long non-coding RNA. RefSeq lists it as uncharacterized. The transcript has 3 exons. The record is from RefSeq and is a predicted model, not a curated record. NCBI's taxonomy places the organism in Eukaryota, Metazoa, Arthropoda, Insecta, Blattodea, Kalotermitidae.
UCAGAUUUUACAUCAUGUACUGUACAGUGUGGUGAGCUGAAUAAGUCAUCUUUAUGAAUUGUCAUUAAUAUUCUUAUCACUCAUUAUAUGCAGGUAACAAUGGUGUUUAUGAGACUUAAUUGAUACCAUUCAGUUUAAUAGUAUUUUGGAAACCUGAAAUCUGAGUUUUAAUAUCAGGUAGUGUACAGUGAGCUCAGAUAAGGCAUCCAUCCUUAUGAGCUGUCAUAAAGCUGAUACCACUUCUUAUUUUACGAGGAACAACUGUGUUAAUGAGUCUUUAUUGCUGCUACACAGGAUAAUAUAUAUAUGAAAAAAAGCAUUCAGAAAUGUUUGAUUCAGGUGGUGUACAGUGUGGACAGUUGAAAAAAAUCACUAUAAGCUUCCAGGAAUGUAGGUAUAACUUAUUUGCAUGAAAAGAUUAGUUCAUAACUGAAUUGCAGCUAGUCAGUAUAUUCCUAUGUUGAAACCAAGAAAUUAGAGAUUUCAUAUCAGGGAGUGUACAGUGGUCAAUUACGUAUGUCCUUUAUAAGGCGUUAUUAAUGUUGGCAUGAUCUUUUUCCUUUGGAGGCAACACCAGUGUUGAUGAACCUACAAUUCUUCCACUCAGGGUAAUACAAUCCUAGAAAAAUAAAUCCAGUGAUUUCACGUCAGGUAAUGUACAAUGUUGUAUGUAGAACAAGACAUUGUGAGCUGACAUUAUGAUUGAUGUGACCUCUUACUCUUACAGGCAACAGCUGUGUUGAUGACCCUUCAUUUCUCCCAGUCAGGUUAACACAAUGUUGGAAGCAUGAAUUCAGAGAUUUUGCAUCAGGUAACAUCAGUGUUGAUGAGCUUUCAUUUCUCCCAGCCAGGUUAACACAGUGUUGGAAGCAUGAAUUCGGAGAUUUCACAUCAGGCAACGUCAGUGUGGAUGAGCCUUCGUUCCUUCUGGUUAUGUUAAUACAAUAUUUGGAACAUGAAUCUGAUAGAUAUAACAUCAGGUUUUACACAGUGUGGUAAGCAAAACAUGUAAAAAAUCCAGCGAUUCUGAGAGCAAGACCUUUCUUUUAAUCUGUUAUUGUUUUUAUGAACUCUCAUUCUAAUGGGCAACAACUGUGUUUAUGAACCUCCAUUUCUCCCAGUCUGGUUAAUACACUGUUGGAAACAAGGAUUCAGAGAUUUCA